UACGUAGGUGGCGAGCGUUGUCCGGAUUUACUGGGCGUAAAGAGCGCGCAGGCGGCUGGUCGAGUCCGAUGUGAAAGCUCCCGGCUUAACUGGGAAAUUGCAUCGGAAACUGAUCGGCUGGAAGGUGGGAGAGGGUAGCGGAAUUCCCGGUGUAGUGGUGAAAUGCGUAGAUAUCGGGAGGAACACCAGUGGCGAAAGCGGCUACCUGGCCCAUUCUUGACGCUGAGGCGCGAAAGCUAGGGGAGCAAACGGG
This 253-nucleotide ribosomal RNA is filed under the name uncultured bacterium. Its description in RNAcentral is "partial 16S ribosomal RNA". It matches the Rfam family "Bacterial small subunit ribosomal RNA", at positions 524 to 776 of the family's 1533-position model. The record is from RNAcentral.